This 203-nucleotide unclassified non-coding RNA is filed under the name Hevea brasiliensis (rubber tree). Lineage: Eukaryota; Viridiplantae; Streptophyta; Magnoliopsida; Malpighiales; Euphorbiaceae. The record is from RNAcentral.
GUGAAUGGCUUGUGAAUAUUUUUGAUAAAAGUUGAUAGUUGGUGUUCCUUUAUUGAGAUAUAUGGACCAAUUUAAACACAGAUUUAGGCUUGUUUAAUAAAUGAACCAAACCUGAAUAUAGGUGAGUUUGGCUUGAUUAUGUUUGUGAAAGUGUUUGUUUAUGCUUGUUUAUUUAGUCAUUUAAGAUUUGAAGAGAGUUUUUU